Molecule: ribosomal RNA, 491 nt
Filed under: uncultured bacterium
Lineage: Bacteria
Description: partial 16S ribosomal RNA
Rfam family: Bacterial small subunit ribosomal RNA
Source: RNAcentral
GAUGAACGCUAGCUACAGGCUUAACACAUGCAAGUCGAGGGGAAACGAUGAGAGAGCUUGCUCUCUUAGUCGUCGACCGGCGCACGGGUGAGUAACGCGUAUCCAACCUGCCUCUGACCAAGGGAUAACCCGUCGAAAGUCGGACUAAUACCUUAUGCAGUCGUCGGAAGUCAUCUGAUGACGACGAAAGAUUUCAUCGGUGAGAGAUGGGGAUGCGUCUGAUUAGCUUGUUGGCGGGGUAACGGUCCACCAAGGCGACGAUCAGUAGGGGUUCUGAGAGGAAGGUCCCCCACAUUGGAACUGAGACACGGUCCAAACUCCUACGGGAGGCAGCAGUGAGGAAUAUUGGUCAAUGGGCGUAAGCCUGAACCAGCCAAGUAGCGUGCAGGAUGACGGCCCUAUGGGUGGUAAACUGCUUUUAUGCGGGGAUAAAGUGAGGGACGUGUCCUUCAUUGCAGGUACCGCAUGAAUAAGGACCGGCUAAUUCCAUG